Podarcis lilfordi (Lilford's wall lizard) is the source of this 64-nucleotide non-coding RNA. The record is from the annotation of a GenBank genome assembly. NCBI's taxonomy places the organism in Eukaryota, Metazoa, Chordata, Lepidosauria, Squamata, Lacertidae.
GGGGGCUGUGGCUCAGUGGUAGAGCAGCUGCUCUGCAUGCCAGGCUCAAUCCCUGGCAUCCCCA